GCCUUGGUGGUGUAGAGGCCUAGCAUAUAGCCCUGUCGAGGCUAUGACCCGGGUUCGAUUCCCGGCCAGGGCG
RNAcentral lists this transfer RNA (73 nucleotides) under Candidatus Woesearchaeota archaeon. RNAcentral's name for it is "tRNA-Asp". It matches the Rfam family "tRNA". Rfam says of the family: Transfer RNA (tRNA) molecules are approximately 80 nucleotides in length. Lineage: Archaea; Nanobdellati; Candidatus Woesearchaeota. The record is from RNAcentral.